UCCCUGAUGGUUCAGAAGUUAAAGCGUCUGCCUCCAAUGCGGGAGACCCGGGUUCGAUCCCUGGGUUGGGAA
Ovis aries (sheep) is the source of this 72-nucleotide transfer RNA. It matches the Rfam family "tRNA". Rfam says of the family: Transfer RNA (tRNA) molecules are approximately 80 nucleotides in length. Lineage: Eukaryota; Metazoa; Chordata; Mammalia; Artiodactyla; Bovidae. The record is from Rfam.